This is a long non-coding RNA of Sapajus apella (tufted capuchin), 345 nucleotides long. RefSeq lists it as uncharacterized. The record is from RefSeq and is a predicted model, not a curated record. The transcript is spliced from 4 exons. NCBI's taxonomy places the organism in Eukaryota, Metazoa, Chordata, Mammalia, Primates, Cebidae.
GCAAGCUGCAGGGUCUGGAGGGGAGCGAAUUUGUGCUGCUGCCCUCUGGGAUGCUCUUGAUCUCUCCUACCCUGGACUCCAGCUGCCCUUCUGAAGAGGACCUGGAGGUAUUUGACACUUCCCUGAGGAAAAAGAUGGUCUUGUAAGUAAGCAGGGCAGGAAGCUACAGGCUGUAGAAGCUGUGACACACUAGAUGACAGAACCCUCCGCCCUGUCCUCAGGACAGCAUUUCAUCCUUUGCUCUAGGAGCUGACUGGCUAAGGUGAAACAUAAAUGAAAAUUGACAUGGUAAAGAUGAUGGUCCAGGCCCAGUGGCUCACGCCUGUAAUCCCAACACUUUGGGAG